CUCAAGUUUGAAACAGCAUGAUAACUUGAAAACUCCCCUUUCCCUUCCUAAUUGUAGCAACCAAAAAAAAAAAAAGUUAAUCAGAAAUCUUUCCAACAACGAAUACCGAGCAAACGAAAACCGCUCGUAAAUUCAAGUUAAAAUGGCGGGUUUAUGAGGUCUAGCUCAGGUGGCAUGAGUGGGAUUGGUGGAUCAGAGAAGAUAAAUAAUCAAGUGUAUAGGGUCGUCCAAUCUUCACGACCACAGGUUUCGUUCUCAUCAUUUGACAAAGAAAGCAAGCUUCCUUCGUCCCGGUUUGAUCAGCGACCAAUGGCUUACCCAUUUGUAAGACCUGGGUUGGGUCCUAUGAUCAACCAAUGACCAGUUUUCCCCAUACAACGAACCUAGCACACUUGAGCGUCAGUGUCAGAGAGAGAGAGAGAGAGAGUGCUCCAUUUCAGCUGGUUGGGACGACAGUUACGAAGAAAGGACAGUUUGGGAUAGCGUAAACGAGGUAUAGCAGUCCUUGCCGACUAACUGUUUGAUGCUUUGCUCCUUAGACAACAACAACUCACUUUGCUCAAAUCUAGAUAUAAUACUUGACCCCCGUUAGUCUUC
This is a non-coding RNA of Prunus avium (sweet cherry), 597 nucleotides long. Lineage: Eukaryota; Viridiplantae; Streptophyta; Magnoliopsida; Rosales; Rosaceae. The record is from RefSeq and is a predicted model, not a curated record.